Molecule: long non-coding RNA, 810 nt
Organism: Triticum aestivum (bread wheat)
Lineage: Eukaryota; Viridiplantae; Streptophyta; Magnoliopsida; Poales; Poaceae
Exons: 3
Source: RefSeq, a predicted model, not a curated record
UCCGAACCCACCACGGUUCUUCGUUCUUCAGAAAGGGAAUAUGUACUAUAAUUCCAAACGCUCCAUGGAAGGAAUUGAAUUCCUACACAAUAGUUUGUGUAGCAUUGAGUUGGGUUUAGCCCAACUAGUUUCGGCUGUACCAUGCAAUACACAAGAAAAUGAGGAGUAGUGUAUCGGGAGCAUCAUUCCAAAGCAUGUUACCAUCCUCACACCUAAGGAUAUCAAUGCAAGGGGCACAUGCUCUAGAAUAAAGGGGCAUAGGGAUGGUGUGAGGAGUGGAUCUGGUGAGAAGAGAAGGCCUGGAAUUCAUCAAAAAGUCGCGCGCAAAUGCAACAUUUGUAAGGAAAUGGUGUUUCAUGAUGCAAGAACAUGUUCUAAGAAACAAACGACAAAACAAUAGAGGUAGAUUGAGCUGAUCAAGUGUAUAAGAGCCCAUGGAGGUUGUCAUCUCUUUCCCAGCAUGAAGCUCGAUUGCUAGGAAGCACUAACACGAGGCAAAACGACAGAUAUUUUCAGUCUUGUACCAGCAAGAUGCUUGUUGGGCGAUGAUAAUUUCAGCCUUUACCACUUGGUCUUGCCGGCCAUGUACUAAAAAUGAUCUGUAUGGCUCAUGUACCCAAGUACUCAAAUGCUUGCUGAGCACUGAUAAUUUCAGUCCUUAAUUUGCUCUACUUCCAGUUUGACAUGUAUGCGUGGUUCUACUUGCCUCUUCGUGAUGUGUUCUCAUGUACUGAAAUGCUUGCCGAGCAGCUACAAUUUCAAUCAUUAGGUUGCUAUAUUUCCAGUUUGACAUGUAUGUGUGAUUCUACC